GGAUGUGAAAGUGAUCUGACUGUGACAUCUGUCACCCCUUUGAUCACCAGGGUUGAUUUAGCUGAUCUGGCUGUUUAGGUGGGUGCCCCUUCCUCCCUCAAUGCUCCAUGUGUGUCCCUCCCAAAGCUGCACUCUUGGGCAAAGAGGAUGGGGAUUGCCCAGGGAGGUGGUGGUGUCACCAUCCUUGGAAGUGU
Molecule: small nuclear RNA, 194 nt
Filed under: Acanthisitta chloris (rifleman)
Lineage: Eukaryota; Metazoa; Chordata; Aves; Passeriformes; Acanthisittidae
Description: 7SK RNA
Rfam family: 7SK RNA
About the family: 7SK was discovered as an abundant small nuclear RNA in the mid-70s but a possible function has only recently been suggested.
Source: Rfam by way of RNAcentral